Molecule: long non-coding RNA, 1284 nt
Organism: Salvia miltiorrhiza (redroot sage)
Lineage: Eukaryota; Viridiplantae; Streptophyta; Magnoliopsida; Lamiales; Lamiaceae
Exons: 2
Source: RefSeq, a predicted model, not a curated record
GUUACGACGUGGCAUGCCUAUGUGGACCGAAAAGAAAAAAUGAAAGAACUAAAAUAUACAUAAUUUAAAAUGCCACCAUUUAAAAUUAGUAAAAGAAAAAAGAAAAAAAAAAUUAAAACACAAUUUAUGCCUUUCUUCUCAUUAUCUACCCCUCGCUCUCUCUGUGUGUUGUCCGCCGAUCGCCGUCACCACCGCCUCCACCUCCUCCGGUCUGCUGUGGCCACGGCCUCGCCGCCUCGAACCUCUCCGUCCAAGCAGUGCAACCUGCAAGCGGCAAACAGGUAGCACAACAGCAUUGCGUAGGCUCGCACACCCCGUCUCCUCCGCCCUCAACGGUCAGUGCCACGCCACCGCCCUCGCUACCUUUCUCAUUUUCUCUCUCGUCUUCGUCCUCUCGAAUCUUCCAACCUAGAUUUGAGGACUGAAUCGAGAGCUUCAGCUUCUCGAGCUUCGAUUUACUCAGAACCUACAUAGCUCAAAGGCGAUUCGUCGGCAAGGAGAAAGACAGCGGCGAUAAUGGAAUUUGUUUGAUUUGAUUCUAGCAACAUGCGUCCAAUUUUGCAGGGUAAUUGAAACGAGACCUAUCAAAAAUCGGGAGAGAUUCAACUUCAAAAAUCAGGAUCUCGUCGUCUAAUACUCAAAUUUUACUGAUUGAAGGCCAGCGCCGUAGGAAGGCGGCGAUGAGGUGGGGUCGUUGACACUGUAAAAUUGAGAAUCGAGAUCUCCCUUCCCAGUUGCCUCAACGGCGGAGCCUACAUCCGCGACAACCCAAACCUUCAAUUCAUCACAAAGGGCCCCAACCAUUUCUUCGAGGUAAUAUAAUAACCCUCGGCCGCCCUGAUUUCGGAGCUUCCAUGCCAUUCUCGAGGAUGACAGUGCACCCAAAAGUCGAUGGAGUCACUGGAGAAGCCUUCGCCUAUGAAUACGACGAUUGUGGUGAACUCGUGGUCAAUUUUGAGUGGGAAAUCGCCGGUGGGGGUUGAUUGGGAGAAGGUGGCACGGGUGGGAUGAAGACAGUUGGCGACGAAUGCGGUGGAUAUGCCAUGUUGAGCAGAGAUGACAGAAAUAUAAAAUGGUUUUUUAAGCUAGAAAUAUAAUUCCACAUAGGCAUGCCACGUCGUAACUCCGGCUAUCCACGUCAUUUUUCGAUUGUCGGAAAAUUUUAAUAGGACACGGAUGAUAUUUUUGUGAUAGGUUGGGUAUCGUUUUGGUAUUAUCGUUAGGUUGGGACAUUUUUGAGAAUUCACUAAAAUGAUGGGACAGAAAGUGACCUUUACCCUAAAA